CAGCUCCUUCACGCUGUAGCCCAUGACUGAGUCCUAAUAAAACCUUAGCUGAACUCCUUCUCCUGCCUCUUAUCAGUCUCUAAAGCAUCCAAAGGCUCAAGUUGGUAAUGCUUCCUUGCUGCGAGGCCUUAGGAGCUCGAUCUGGUGAGUUGGCCUGGGCCCAGGUCAUGAAGGAUGAGUUUAGCGGUUGGAUGGAAACAUGGAAUCAUUGCCCCGGUGGGCUUGCCCUGAGGCUGCUCCAGGAGAAGUGACGGGAGGAUGACAGGUACGCACGUUGAAAAUUACUUCGAGGUGGUCUCAGCCCCAUUUACUGUCCCCAAGAGUCCUCUCCAGAGUUUGAUGUGGACACAUUAGAAGCACACAUGAAGACAAUGAUGUAUAUGUGUUUAGUCUGAACUGGUCCAGCAUGGCUGCGUCACCGUGGAGCACAGCUGCCUGGGAAAGAGAAGAAAGAUGGGGGUGUUAAUCAUUGUGGCAGGCACGUUCUUCCUCCCUCGGCCCAUCUGCCAAGGCUGUAGGGCUGGUCACCACUGAAGGCGCUUUCAUUCACUCUUCUCUAAAACUGACAUAGGUGGCUUCUGCAUGGGAAGACCUUAAGGAAUUCAAUUCAAGUCCAUUUACUUCAAUGCUUCAGGAAUAUUUAUGUUUAGCUUGUUUAGGAACACCUUUGGAGGCACUGAACCAUGCAUUAGGAACACAGCCAUGAGCAAGGAGGUGUAGACCCUGCCCUCAGGGAACUUAUCUAUUCUGUGCAGAGUCUGUGCUCGGCAAAGAGAAUGCAGAAAUGGACACCACUCCCCAUGUACCCCACAGGGACUGCACCUGGCUGACCAUUAAUUCCACACCUGGCACUCAGCAGGGUAUUGUAUAUCUGCUCCCACAACAUUCCUUUAAAGUAGGUAUUAUUCUGAUCAUACAGGUGAAGAAGCAGCCUCAGGGUCUCCCUGGGAGACUUUGCCAGCUUAAGGUCAGGAAACAGUAGAAAACAUUAAAACUAAGGCCAACCUUGGACCAUAAAGCCAAGCCAGUUCCUCCUCACUGUGCCCUGCUUCUAGUAUCAGAAGCAUCCCCUUGAAUCUGAUUGGUUAUUUAUUUAUUUAAGUGUUAUAGGAGUUGUGCAUAUAAGACGCAAAGUGGGGAGCAUUUGGGCCAGGCUUGAAAGAAUAUGUAGAAAUCUAUCAUGAGGAAAAUGUGGGGAAGUAUUCUAGGCAUGGACACAGGGCUGCAUCUGGAAUGUUGCAUGGCUGCUGGGGGCGUGAGGAGGUGGUCUGCAAGGAUGGGCAGGGAAUGAGCCUUCUAAGAGGGAGUUAGGCCAGUUGUGAAGAGGAGUCUUCACUGCUUCCUUAGGGGAUGGAAGCUAUCAGCUAUGUUUAAGCAAUAAGGUGACUGACUAUCAAAGUAAGGAAGAAUCACAGAGGCAAUACAUGGAAUUGGCCAGUAGGGGGUAACAGAGAGUGCAAACCUGGGAGAGCAUGAGGGGGCCAUUACUAAGGUGGUCUUGCAAGUAAUGAUUCUCUUUUGUGGACCCAUCACAUGGGUCAGUCUGAUGUGUUUCAUUGAGAAGCGCCUGAUCUGUGGUUACCUCCUAGUUAGGUAGGUAGAAAUAAUUUUUUCCACAUUUCUCUUAUAAUCUCUUUCGCCAAAAUCAGAAUUUCUUUUAGCCAUGUGAGGAAACAAAAUACUUGACUCUAUUUAUGUAAUAAUAAUGAUGAUGUAGAGGACAUUGGGAUGAAUGACCCAGAUCUCACAUCUGUACUUCUCUAGCUGCUGAGAGGGCUGCCAGCAGACAGCCCUCAAUUCUUAGUCCUCUUUGAAGACUGCAUCAGCUGAAGAGAGCUAUCUCUCCCAAGAUCACACUGCCUUCCUGGGGCAGCCCACCUCCAAUGACUGAACUCUGGUGGGGGAAGGGGUGGUUAUAAAUGCCUAGCCCCCUACUUCCAGUUUGGGGUAACUCGGAAAGGCCUUCCCCACUUAAGAGCACCCUCCAAUGUUGGCUGAGACCUCUGUUGAAGCUGUGCUGCAGCCCACAUCUUCCUUUUCCUGACCCUCCACCUUUCCUUUUGUUCCUUCUUAGCAUGUGGGGAUUCUGAGAUCUCUCCCUGAUGGAGUUCAUCAUCCCAGCUGUUGCUUAGGGGACAACCCAGCAGCAAAUGACAGUUGUAGCUAAUGUUUUUCGGUUUGUUUGUGUGUGUCGAAUAUCAUGAGAGGGAGUUUAUACACAUAUUCUCAUUUCAUUCUUACAAUAACUAUGGGUAGUAGGUAGCCCAUAAAACAUUAUUUUUACCAUUGUGUAGGCACCAAAGAAUUUUCCUGUCAGUGAUCCUAGGUGAAUUUUAAUCCUUCCUGGGAGAGAGCAGGGCAGGGAUUCCUAACCUCUUUAGACAUACUAGAAACUUAGGCCCACAGAGAAAUAAAUUCCCUCAGAUUGCAAAUCUAGGAAUGUUGCAGAAUUGUCUAACUUUCUGAUCAAUUCCACUGCAUAUAGACAUUCCCAUUUCUGCUUAUGCUUUUUUAUUUUUUUUAAUUUUUAAAUUUUUUUUCCACUGGUUGGGGGGUCAGCACAGAAUGAGGGAAGAAUAAACACCAUGUAUAUCAGUGCUGGCUGGUGCUGCACUGUGCUAGGGAACUAGCUCUGUGCUUGCUCCCCUGGGGCCAGGGACAGUCAUUCACCUGUUGCAUCAACACCCUCCUUGUUUCUUUAAUGGAAAGCAUUCUGGUUCGAUCAUAAUUUUUCCUCCCAUUGUUGUGUUGCGAUGUAAGUAUCUAGACAUAGUUCUCAAUGCUUACAUUGCUUAUGCUUUUUAAUAUGCCAUGUACCAGAUAGGCUUUCCAUCCCCUGGUCUGAAAGCUGGACAUUUCUCAGCUAGUGCCCGCCUUUUGGACUCUCACUCAAAAUGUGUGGCCUAAGACAAAAUGGAAAGCAAUGGCUCUUAUACAAUAUCAGUGCCAAGGAAGCCUUCAGCAUCUAACUCAGGAAUUUCAAACUGUUUUCUACAGAGCUGCUUUGGGGGCUCAAGAGAAAAGAAGCAGGGGGAGAAAGAGGGAGAGGAGGGCAAGGGAGGAGAGGGCAGGAGUGGGAGGGGCGGGCAAGGAGCUGGCCGGCUGCUCUAGGAAAUAAACAAUGGCAACUUUCCUGCCCAGGAGGCAGCUGGUUAUUGGGCACUUUGAACUCCUCAGGACAGUAUGCUUUAUCAUCUGGAAUAAUAAACGCAAACCUGGUGGCCCAAGGAGCAGGCAGGGCUCAGUCUGGGAGGUACAGCCCUGAGCUUGGCCACAGUGGGCAGCCUGCUGUCUCACCUGCACUGAGGAGCCCAGGAAGGCAGCCUCUGGGAGGCACCCGGGGCCAAGAGGGCUCUCAGCUGGUGCUGAGUGAGCUUUUCAAAGUAAACAAGGGCUCUGGGGCCAGGGGGAGCCUCCUCUUGGUGGUGACUCUGAUGCAAUGUGGACCCUGGAAGGGGCUUGGUAUUUUUAGCUCUCCACUUGCUUUGAAAGAAAGAAAAAGGGAAAGAAACAGAACCAGAGUGUGCAAUCUAUUAUUUUUUAGGACAUAAUAGCUAACAGCUCUGAAAACAUUCUGGAUGCGCUCCACAGCUCAUCAGCAGGCGCAUCAGCACAGAAUGAGGGAAGAAUAAACGCCAUGUAUAUCAGUGCUGGCUGGUGCUGCACCACGCUAGGGAACCAGCUCUGUGCUUGCCUCGCCUGGGGCCAGGGACAGUCAUUCACCUGUUGGCUCCUCUGGUGCAUCAACACCCUCCUUGUUCCUUUAAUGGAAAGCAUUCUGGUUUGAUCAGACCCAAGUUGGAGUCAUACUUUCCUAGGCCAUUAAGAGGUCAGGGAAAUCCUUUGGGGUUGGGGGGUCAGUUCUGGGACCUGAUCUACUCCCUUGCUCGCCGUGGCCUUGGACGAGUCCCCUGGUUCCCCUGAACCUAGGUGAAUUCAAACGGCUCUUUGAGUUUUAACACUAAAGCAACCUGUAGAAAUAUAAAUGAGGAGAGGUCCUGAGAGGCCAGGAGGGUCCCAGUGCACUACGCAAAAUCAAUAUUUCUUGAGCGAACAGGAAGUACAAUGGGGGGUUGAUGGCCCACCCUUACCUGCAUGCAUAGAGGAAAUUGGACUUUCUUCUAUUACUUGCAGUUUUGUAAUCUCUAAACCUCUCAGAAGAGUAAAGACAUUUUAAUUUUGUGGUGGCCAACAGCGGCAGGCAGCCAUAGGAGAUGAUGGAUGAGCAGAGGGCUUGUGGGCUGCAGGGAGCUGGCUGGAGGGCGUGAGUGUGCAGGGCGGUGCUUGCCCUUUCUGGGGAGGAUGCUGGACUGGGAUGUGGAAGACCUGGGCUUGCCAUCUCCUUGCAGGGGCAACCUUGGGGAGAUCUUCCUUUCCGGAAGCCCAGCCUGUUCCAUCACUUCCCUUUCUGCCUCCCCCCUCAGUGCCCUGGGCCAGACUCCAUGCAGCCUGUCUCUGCCCCGGAUGAUCCUUCCAGGCUCUAACUGUUCUCACUGCCCUUCAGCCCUGCUUGGCUCCUCACCAUGCUCCUUGCUCUGCCUCCUCUAAAGUGAUCUCCUAGCGUGAAAAUCAGAUGGGGCCCCGCUCUGGCACACAACCGUCAUCUACAGCUCCUUUGUCUCAGGCAUAUGUCCAAGCAUUCAAGGCCUUUUGAGGUCUGGCCCCUGCUCAUGGUUCCAGUAUCAGCACCUGUGCCUGCUUUUUCUGCAUGCACCUUAAGAUUCCAGGCACAUUAGUCCCAGAAGGCUCCACACUUUCCCAAACAUGCGUAACCUUGUGCAUGCUGUUCCUUCCUCUUCCAAAACUCAUCUCGAGCAUCUGCUUUGCCCAGAGGACAGGGCUUGGGAAGGCCUCAUGGAGCCAAUCCCUUCCUUCUGUACACAGUCCUGUUACAGCCCCUAUUGCCUGUCAUACUCUCUCUGGGGAGACAGGUGAAAACAAAACCCUACAAGCACCAGGUUGUGGUCACUGCCGUACUCCAUGGCUAUCACAAUUAGCAAGAGUUGUCAGGAGAUGAUGGAUUUAUGGAUGUAUCUAUACAAUAGGGGUAAAGAGUCCUCUCUUUUCACUAUUGGAAGGAUGCAGAGAAUGCAAAAAAGUUUUAUAGAAGGUAGAGGCUGUACACCCUUUGAGGGUUUGUUGUUAUGAUGAUCCAAUUCCAGGACAGAAACUAGAGACAGAAGAGCAGAAACAGAAUUUCUUCCUCCCCACCUUCCCUUCCCUUUUCUCUUCCCCCUUCCCUUCUUCCCUCCUUUCUUGAGUGUUUUGCAUUGCCUAAGGCCUAAAGGAAUGCUGAAGAACCAGGCAGACAAGAUCCCCUCCCCCCAUGGGGCAUAUUUUCUGUUAAGGAAAUAAAUACGGCAAACAAACAAAUAGGCACGCUGAUUUUCAUUAAUGAAAGACUGAGAGCAGAAGCAGGUGCAGUAGGGGCCAUGGGAAGAGAAGGUCUUUAGGCACUUGACCACUCUGCCCCCCAUCAGGGAGGGCAGCUGUGAGCUGUGCGACUUGAGCAUCAGGGCUGCCUGGCACCGUUCAGUUUCCUUCUCCGUAGUGUGGGAUGAUGAUGCCCAUCUCGAUGGAGAGUGGUGAGGAAUGAAUUGACAGGCGCAGCUUAUAACUUUCUAGGAACUGACAUCAUGAAAGGGAAUUUAUGAAGUUUCCUCAUCCCCCAGUAACGAAAGGGGCUUCUGCGAUGUCCUGAGGGAAGGGACGGGCACCGAGGCCUUGUGUGCUUGGGAGUAGUAUCUUCUCUCCCAACAAGAGACCCCCAACAACAGGGAAGCCACCUUUCUUUGUAGUUCUCUGCAUGGAUUCUAGACCUUUCCCCGGCCCUGAAUCAUGGCUUGCUAUGAUCAACUAUGUUUUGUCUCCGUGGCUCACCUGGAGCUAGUCACUUUCCCUUUCGGGGCCUAUGUUUCCCCUGUAAAAAGAAGGCAUUAAACUAAAAAA
This 5949-nucleotide long non-coding RNA is filed under the name Sus scrofa (pig). RNAcentral describes it as "lncRNA (ENSSSCG00005003998.1)". Lineage: Eukaryota; Metazoa; Chordata; Mammalia; Artiodactyla; Suidae. The record is from RNAcentral.